This 442-nucleotide ribosomal RNA is filed under the name uncultured bacterium. RNAcentral's name for it is "partial 16S ribosomal RNA". It matches the Rfam family "Bacterial small subunit ribosomal RNA", at positions 338 to 795 of the family's 1533-position model. The record is from RNAcentral.
CCUACGGGUGGCAGCAGUGGGGGAUAUUGGACAAUGGGGGGAACCCUGAUCCAGCGACGCCGCGUGAGUGAAGAAGUAUCUCGGUAUGGAAAGCUCUAUCAGCAGGGAAGAAGAAAUGACGGUACCUGAGUAAGAAGCCCCGGCUAACUACGUGCGAGACGCCGCGGUCAUACGUAGGGGGCAAGUGUUAUCCGGAAUUACUGGGGGUAAAGGGAGCGUAGACGGUGAUGGAAGGCUGGAGUGAAAGGCGGGGGCCCAACCCCCGGACGGCGCUGGAAACUAUGUGACUGGAGUGCAGGAGAGGUGAGCAGAAUUCGUAGUGUAGCGGUGAAAUGCGUAGAUAUUAGGAGGAACACCAGUGGCGAAGGCGGCUCACUGGACUGUAACUGACGUUGAGGCUCGAAAGCGUGGGGAGCAAACAGGAUUAGAUACCCGAGUAGUC